ACGUAGCAAUCGGAAGUGGUUCCAAGAAAAGCCUCUAAGCUUCAGUCAUACGAGACCGUACCGCAAACCGACACAGGUGGGCGAGAUGAGUAUUCUAAGGCGCUUGAGAGAACUCGGGAGAAGGAACUCGGCAAAUUGGUACCGUAACUUCGGGAAAAGGUACGCCUCGGUAGCUUGGUCACUUUACUGUGAUAGGGCGAAAAGGUUGCAAUAAACUGGUGGCUGCGACUGUUUAAUAAAAACACAGCACUCUGCAAACACGAAAGUGGACGUAUAGGGUGUGACGCCUGCCCGGUGCUGGAAGAUUAAAUGAUGGGGUGCAAGCUCUUGAUUGAAGUCCCAGUAAACGGCGGCCGUAACUAUAACGGUCCUAAGGUAGCGAAAUUCCUUGUCGGGUAAGUUCCGACCUGCACGAAUGGCGUAACGAUGGCCACACUGUCUCCUCCCGAGACUCAGCGAAGUUGAAAUGUUUGUGAUGAUGCAAUCUACCCGCGGCUAGACGGAAAGACCCCAUGAACCUUUACUGUAGCUUUGCAUUGGACUUUGAAUCAAUCUGUGUAGGAUAGGUGGGAGGCUUUGAAGUAGGGACGCCAGUCUCUAUGGAGCCAUCCUUGAAAUACCACCCUGGUUCAUUUGAGGUUCUAACCUUGGUCCGUUAUCCGGAUCGGGGACAGUGCAUGGUAGGCAGUUUGACUGGGGCGGUCUCCUCCUAAAGUGUAACGGAGGAGUUCGAAGGUACGCUAGGUACGGUCGGACAUCGUGCUAAUAGUGCAAUGGCAUAAGCGUGCUUAACUGCGAGACCGACAAGUCGAGCAGGUACGAAAGUAGGACAUAGUGAUCCGGUGGUUCUGUAUGGAAGGGCCAUCGCUCAACGGAUAAAAGGUACUCUGGGGAUAACAGGCUGAUUCCUCCCAAGAGUUCAUAUCGACGGGGGAGUUUGGCACCUCGAUGUCGGCUCAUCACAUCCUGGGGCUGUAGCCGGUCCCAAGGGUAUGGCUGUUCGCCAUUUAAAGUGGUACGUGAGCUGGGUUUAAAACGUCGUGAGACAGUUUGGUCCCUAUCUGCCGUGGGCGUUGGAAAUUUGAAGGGGGCUGCUCCUAGUACGAGAGGACCGGAGUGGACGAACCUCUGGUGUACCGGUUGUCACGCCAGUGGCAUUGCCGGGUAGCUAAGUUCGGAAGAGAUAACCGCUGAAAGCAUCUAAGCGGGAAACUUGCCUUAAGAUGAGAUUUCCCAGAGCCUUGAGCUCUUUGAAGGGUCGUUCGAGACCAGGACGUUGAUAGGUCAGGUGUGGAAGUGCAGUAAUGCAUUAAGCUAACUGAUACUAAUUGCCCGUACGGCUUGUCCCUAUAACCUU
Molecule: ribosomal RNA, 1357 nt
Filed under: Duganella flavida
Lineage: Bacteria; Pseudomonadati; Pseudomonadota; Betaproteobacteria; Burkholderiales; Oxalobacteraceae
Description: partial 23S ribosomal RNA
Rfam family: Bacterial large subunit ribosomal RNA
Source: RNAcentral